CCUCGCUCUGCUUCUCCACCCGCCAUGGGAGCCGUUUUCCUCAGCCCAGCUCUGUUGAUGCUCAUUCUGGGCCCAGUCCCAAAGUAAGCUGCUCGCAACGGUGGACUAGACCGGUCAGCUUUCUCCCUUGCCCCAGAACACACUUCGUUUUUUUCUUAGAGGAAGAGGCUUCCAGCGCUCCUGCGUUCUGCUUUCCCAUUGCUGAAGUGACUCCCCGGAGAGCAGAGGUCUGUGGACCGCCCAACAUGUAAAGGAAAGUGCCCCUGGUAUGGACAUGCCAGAGCCUGGCUGUGCUUCCGGUUCCUCGGGAUUGGGCUUGGCCUCUGUCCUCGGGAUUAAUGUAACCCUCAUCAACUGAAUCUUUCUGAACUCAUCAGCAAGCCAGGGGUUGGAGGAGGCCCUCUGAGCAGCCCUGGGGGAAUCACCCAGGGUCCUCUUUUUUUGUGGCGCUCUGGGAAGAAAGCCCCACUAGGAGCUUAGUAGCCACAGAGCAGAGUAAGGUGGGGCUGUCUGCGCCUCUGUCAGUUGCCACUCAGAGGCGGUUCCCUGUGCACUCUGCAGGGGCGAAACCAUCAGGUCUGGGAGCAAACGCUGCAGGCUCUAUAUUGAGGUAGUACUUGAAGUCCACACCCAACCCUUUCUGUCUUGAUUUGUGAAGCAGUACCACCCUCCUGCCUUCAUCAUGUCCAGCUGGGACCUGCGAGGAACUCUGAGCCUUGAGGCCUGGGAGCUUGCCCUCUCGUCCUGGUCUCUGCUCAACCCUGGUCAAGGCUCUGCCUGGAGUUCCCACUGCUGUUGCACCUUAAAUGAACUCUCUGGGAGUUGGGGAUGGGGAGGGAAAGCUCGUGUCAACAUUCCAAGUCAAAAUUUGAAGACAGCCGGUUUCCCUGGGCACAGGGGACCCUGGGGGCAAAAUUUGUACGUUGAACUCCUAACCCCCAAAUUCUAGAAUGUAGGAAGAGAUAAGCCCUUUAAGAGUGGUUCAAAAUGAAGCAGUCAGUCUGGGUCCUAAUCCAAUUUUACUGGUGUCAUAAGGUGACUAAGCCCCACUGAGGGUUGGGGGGGGGGCACCUAGUAGGAGAACUCCAGAGAGGAGUGGGCCACCUGUAGGCCCAGGAGGCGGGGUCAUACAGGACCUUUCCAUAGCUGACUAAGGCUUUGCCUUCACCAAUGCAACCAUUUAGGAAUUUAAUGGAGCUUUAGGGGUGAGUCUCUUGUAAAGGCCAGUUUGCUUAGGUCUUUUGCAUAUUAUGCUCUAUACAGCCUAGGGAUUCUGCUAGCAAGGCCAUUGCCUUGGCCUUGUACCAGAGCCAUGAGCUAAAACAAUACAACUUACCCAAGCUGUGGUAUUGUGUUAUUAGCAACCGAAAAUGCACUCAGACAAGUGUUCACAUUCGUAUUCCAGGAUCGUAUCUGGAUACCAGGGGCUCAGAAAAUGCCUUUCUCAUACUUCUCUGUAAAAAUAAAAAACUGGAAAAAAGUG
RNAcentral lists this long non-coding RNA (1483 nucleotides) under Mus caroli (Ryukyu mouse). RNAcentral's name for it is "lncRNA (MGP_CAROLIEiJ_G0002812.1)". The record is from RNAcentral. Lineage: Eukaryota; Metazoa; Chordata; Mammalia; Rodentia; Muridae.